This 251-nucleotide ribosomal RNA is filed under the name uncultured bacterium. RNAcentral's name for it is "partial 16S ribosomal RNA". It matches the Rfam family "Bacterial small subunit ribosomal RNA", at positions 791 to 1035 of the family's 1533-position model. The record is from RNAcentral.
UAGUCCACGCCGUAAACGACGAGUGUUAGAUGUCCGAGGUAAACUUGGGUGUCGGAAGCCAACGCGAUAAACACUCCGCCUGGGGAGUACGCACGCAAGUGUGAAACUCAAAGGAAUUGACGGGGACCCGCACAAGCAGCGGAGCAUGUGGUUUAAUUCGGCGUUUUUCAACGCGAAGAACCUUACCAAGUCUUGACAUAUUUCGGAGGGACUUAGAGAUAAGUUCCAAGGACUUCGGUCCACUGAAAAAC